Melanaphis sacchari is the source of this 194-nucleotide long non-coding RNA. RefSeq lists it as uncharacterized. The record is from RefSeq and is a predicted model, not a curated record. NCBI's taxonomy places the organism in Eukaryota, Metazoa, Arthropoda, Insecta, Hemiptera, Aphididae. The transcript is spliced from 3 exons.
ACGUGUAACCAAUCUAUUUUAAUUUUCCACUUUUAUCGGAAAUGCCGAUUUACGCAAAAACGUAUAUCACGCGCUUUUGGGCACGAAAUUUUUCAUCAAUUUUGCGUCGACAGCGUGAUACUUCUUAUAUUGAAAUUGAAGUCGUCGGCGAGAUGGACAACAUCGAAUUAUAUUCAGAUCACGUUGUUUUUGAA